Molecule: ribosomal RNA, 806 nt
Filed under: fungal sp. BG86
Lineage: Eukaryota; Fungi
Description: eukaryotic LSU rRNA
Rfam family: Eukaryotic large subunit ribosomal RNA
Source: RNAcentral
CGGCGAGUGAAGCGGCAACAGCUCAGAUUUGAAAUCUGGCCCCCAGGGCCCGAGUUGUAAUCUGUAGAGGAUGCUUCUGGCAAGGCGCCGUCCGAGUUCCCUGGAACGGGACGCCGGAGAGGGUGAGAGCCCCGUACAGGCGGACGCCGAGCCUCUGUGAAGCUCCUUCGACGAGUCGAGUAGUUUGGGAAUGCUGCUCAAAGCGGGAGGUAAAUUUCUUCUAAAGCUAAAUAUAGGCCAGAGACCGAUAGCGCACAAGUAGAGUGAUCGAAAGAUGAAAAGCACUUUGAAAAGAGGGUUAAAAAGCACGUGAAAUUGUUGAAAGGGAAGCGCCUGUGACCAGACUCGCGCCCGGCGGAUCAUCCGGCGUUCUCGCCGGUGCACUCCGCCGGGCUCGGGCCAGCAUCGGUUCUGGUGGGGGGAUAAAGGCGGCGGGGAUGUGGCUCCCCCGGGAGUGUUAUAGCCCGCCGCUCAAUGCCCUCGCCGGGACCGAGGACCGCGCAAGGAUGCUGGCGUAAUGGUCACCAGCGACCCGUCUUGAAACACGGACCAAGGAGUCAAGCAUUAGGGCGAGUGUUUGGGUGUAAAACCCGCACGCGAAAUGAAAGUGAACGUAGGUGGGAGCCUCGGCGCACCAUCGACCGAUCCUGAAGUCUUCGGAUGGAUUUGAGUAAGAGCCUUACCGCUUGGACCCGAAAGAUGGUGAACUAUGCUUGUGUAGGGUGAAGCCAGAGGAAACUCUGGUGGAGGCUCGCAGCGGUUCUGACGUGCAAAUCGAUCGUCAAACAUGAGCAUGGGGGCGAAAG